This 519-nucleotide ribosomal RNA is filed under the name Comamonas sp. A35. RNAcentral describes it as "bacterial SSU rRNA". It matches the Rfam family "Bacterial small subunit ribosomal RNA", at positions 937 to 1456 of the family's 1533-position model. Lineage: Bacteria; Pseudomonadati; Pseudomonadota; Betaproteobacteria; Burkholderiales; Comamonadaceae. The record is from RNAcentral.
UGAUGUGGUUUAAUUCGAUGCAACGCGAAAAACCUUACCCACCUUUGACAUGGCAGGAACUUACCAGAGAUGGUUUGGUGCUCGAAAGAGAACCUGCACACAGGUGCUGCAUGGCGGUCGUCAGCUCGUGUCGUGAGAUGUUGGGUUAAGUCCCGCAACGAGCGCAACCCUUGCCCUUAGUUGCUACAUUCAGUUGAGCACUCUAAUGGGACUGCCGGUGACAAACCGGAGGAAGGUGGGGAUGACGUCAAGUCCUCAUGGCCCUUAUAGGUGGGGCUACACACGUCAUACAAUGGCUGGUACAAAGGGUUGCCAACCCGCGAGGGGGAGCUAAUCCCAUAAAGCCAGUCGUAGUCCGGAUCGCAGUCUGCAACUCGACUGCGUGAAGUCGGAAUCGCUAGUAAUCGUGGAUCAGAAUGUCACGGUGAAUACGUUCCCGGGUCUUGUACACACCGCCCGUCACACCAUGGGAGCGGGUCUCGCCAGAAGUAGGUAGCCUAACCGCAAGGAGGGCGCUUA